Long non-coding RNA from Hemiscyllium ocellatum (epaulette shark), 333 nucleotides. RefSeq lists it as uncharacterized. The record is from RefSeq and is a predicted model, not a curated record. The transcript has 3 exons. NCBI's taxonomy places the organism in Eukaryota, Metazoa, Chordata, Chondrichthyes, Orectolobiformes, Hemiscylliidae.
GGCGGCGGAGUGAGGAGCGUGUCCGGACAGGCAUCUCGCUCGGGUGGGGGCGAGGGGGAGACAGACCGGUCUUUUUGUACCGGCGGAAAAUGACACUGGUGUCUGAAGUUGAAGACUAAUCCUCCUGAGUGAUGGCCAAUGUGCAAGUGGCCGUCAGGGUUCGACCCCUCAGCAAGAGAGAAAAUGCAGAAGGAUCGAGUAUAAUUGUGCAAGUGGAUGACAAGGUAGCUAGCAUCAGAAAUAUAAAGCUGGAUUCCCGACUUGAUAGCCCUGGGAAUGCAAGGGAACGGAAGAUAGAGUUCACCUUUGAUUACUGUUACUGGUCGAUAGAUC